UUUGCAUAUGUUUGUGAUUGAUGGUUAACUCGGGUACCAUGCUUAGUAUGAUUGAUUGAUUGUUGGAUCAUGUACCAUGCCGAUAUGCUAACAUUAUUGAUGGUUGACUCGGAUAUCACGCCUGAUACAGGUGCUAGAGAUCCUCAACAGGCACAUCAUUAAAGAUCCAUUUCUUUCCUGAUAGUGGAACGGAUGACACUCACGAUCACCCCACUCGUGGCUAGAGAUUUGCUUUAGAUUUCAAAAAAGUUGGUGAGUCCUCAUUCUACUGAGGACAAGAAUUUUAUUCAUGUUACUAUUAUUUACACUUUCUUAUAUUGUUAGGGUGAGCUAGGUGCUUGUCCUAAGACCCCGUCAAGACUAGAAUAGAGGCAUGUUUUGACGAUAUUAUGGUGUAGUCCGGUUGGACGUUUAUAAAGUUGAUGUCUCUU
Molecule: long non-coding RNA, 431 nt
Organism: Solanum dulcamara
Lineage: Eukaryota; Viridiplantae; Streptophyta; Magnoliopsida; Solanales; Solanaceae
Exons: 3
Source: RefSeq, a predicted model, not a curated record